UACGGAGGAUCCAAGCGUUAUCCGGAUUUAUUGGGUUUAAAGGGUGCGUAGGCGGAUUGAUAAGUUAGAGGUGAAAUGUCCGAGCUCAACUCGGGAACUGCCUCUAAUACUGUACGACUUGAGUGCAGUAGAGGUUAGUGGAAUUCCUAGUGUAGCGGUGGAAUGCGUAGAUAUUAGGAGGAACACCAGAGGCGAAGGCGGCUAACUGGACUGUAACUGACGCUGAGGCACGAAAGUGUGGGGAGCAAACAGG
RNAcentral lists this ribosomal RNA (253 nucleotides) under uncultured Eubacteriales bacterium. RNAcentral's name for it is "uncultured Clostridiales bacterium partial 16S ribosomal RNA". It matches the Rfam family "Bacterial small subunit ribosomal RNA", at positions 524 to 776 of the family's 1533-position model. The record is from RNAcentral. Lineage: Bacteria; Bacillati; Bacillota; Clostridia; Eubacteriales.